RNAcentral lists this ribosomal RNA (492 nucleotides) under uncultured bacterium. Its description in RNAcentral is "partial 16S ribosomal RNA". It matches the Rfam family "Bacterial small subunit ribosomal RNA", at positions 29 to 507 of the family's 1533-position model. The record is from RNAcentral.
AGUGAACGCUGGCGGUAGGCCUAACACAUGCAAGUCGAACGGCAGCACAGUAAGAGCUUGCUCUUACGGGUGGCGAGUGGCGGACGGGUGAGGAAUACAUCGGAAUCUACUUUUUCGUGGGGGAUAACGUAGGGAAACUUACGCUAAUACCGCAUACGACCUACGGGUGAAAGCAUGGGAUCUUCGGACCUUGCGCGAUUGAAUGAGCCGAUGUCGGAUUAGCUAGUUGGCGGGGUAAAGGCCCACCAAGGCGACGAUCCGCAGCUGGUCUGAGAGGAUGAUCAGCCACACUGGAACUGAGACACGGUCCAGACUCCUACGGGAGGCAGCAGUGGGGAAUAUUGGACAAUGGGCGCAAGCCUGAUCCAGCCAUACCGCGUGGGUGAAGAAGGCCUUCGGGUUGUAAAGCCCUUUUGUUGGGAAAGAAAAGCAGCAGGUUAAUACCCCGCUGUUCUGACGGUACCCAAAGAAUAAGCACCGGCUAACUUCGUG